This 468-nucleotide ribosomal RNA is filed under the name uncultured bacterium. RNAcentral describes it as "partial 16S ribosomal RNA". It matches the Rfam family "Bacterial small subunit ribosomal RNA", at positions 28 to 507 of the family's 1533-position model. The record is from RNAcentral.
GACGAACGCUGGCGGCGUGCUUAACACAUGCAAGUCGAACGGAAAGGCCCUGCUUUUGUGGGGUGCUCGAGUGGCGAACGGGUGAGUAACACGUGAGUAACCUGCCCUUGACUUUGGGAUAACUUCAGGAAACUGGGGCUAAUACCGGAUAGGAUCUCCUGCUGCAUGGUGUGGGUUGGAAAGUUUCGGCGGUUGGGGAUGGACUCGCGGCUUAUCAGCUUGUUGGUGGGGUAGUGGCUUACCAAGGCUUUGACGGGUAGCCGGCCUGAGAGGGUGACCGGCCACAAUGGGACUGAGAUACGGCCCAGACGCCUACGGGAGGCAGAAGUGGGGAAUAUUGCACAAUGGGCGGAAGCCUGAUGCAGCAACGCCGCGUGCGGGAUGACGGCCUUCGAGUUGUAAACCGCUUUCGCCUGUGGCGAAGCGUGAGUGACGGUAAUGGGUAAAGAAGCACCGGCUAACUACGUG